UAUACAUGGACGGAUUUAAUCGAAAAAAACACCCAAUUGUGAUGUUUAUGGGACAUAUAGGAGUGCCAACAAAGAAGCUCGUCAAAAAUUUUGUCAGACAGGGACUUCGCACCUAUGGAUGAUUUUGCCUUUAUUGGAGCACACUUCAUAACACCUGCCUUCAUCCACGGUCGGAAGCAGUUGCCAGGGAAAGAGAGAGGGUGAUAGCCACAUAACCUGCCCCUGGUUAAGAACCUGAAGGAUGAGAGUGAAGACAAAGAAGAGGCAACACUCGUCAAAAUCAACAAGACUGGCAGUGUGGUUAAACUGCAAUACCACUGCCUGCCCUACUGCAGCUGACGCCUGCCCUCCUGCUGCUGCCUGCACUGCUGAUGCCUGCCACACUGCUGCUGAUUCCUGUGCUACUGUUGCCUGUACUGCUGAUGCCUACCCUGCUGAUGCCUACCCUGGUGCUGCCUGCCAUCCUGCCUGCAUUGCCAUUACCACUGGGGACCAUGCCUCAGGAAUACCUGGCCUGAUGACUCCUUGCUGUCCC
This is a long non-coding RNA of Oncorhynchus tshawytscha (Chinook salmon), 535 nucleotides long. The record is from Ensembl. Lineage: Eukaryota; Metazoa; Chordata; Actinopteri; Salmoniformes; Salmonidae.